Molecule: ribosomal RNA, 1556 nt
Filed under: Escherichia coli
Lineage: Bacteria; Pseudomonadati; Pseudomonadota; Gammaproteobacteria; Enterobacterales; Enterobacteriaceae
Description: bacterial SSU rRNA
Rfam family: Bacterial small subunit ribosomal RNA
Source: RNAcentral
UUAAAUUGAAGAGUUUGAUCAUGGCUCAGAUUGAACGCUGGCGGCAGGCCUAACACAUGCAAGUCGAACGGUAACAGGAAGAAGCUUGCUUCUUUGCUGACGAGUGGCGGACGGGUGAGUAAUGUCUGGGAAACUGCCUGAUGGAGGGGGAUAACUACUGGAAACGGUAGCUAAUACCGCAUAACGUCGCAAGACCAAAGAGGGGGACCUUCGGGCCUCUUGCCAUCGGAUGUGCCCAGAUGGGAUUAGCUGGUAGGUGGGGUAACGGCUCACCUAGGCGACGAUCCCUAGCUGGUCUGAGAGGAUGACCAGCCACACUGGAACUGAGACACGGUCCAGACUCCUACGGGAGGCAGCAGUGGGGAAUAUUGCACAAUGGGCGCAAGCCUGAUGCAGCCAUGCCGCGUGUAUGAAGAAGGCCUUCGGGUUGUAAAGUACUUUCAGCGGGGAGGAAGGGAGUAAAGUUAAUACCUUUGCUCAUUGACGUUACCCGCAGAAGAAGCACCGGCUAACUCCGUGCCAGCAGCCGCGGUAAUACGGAGGGUGCAAGCGUUAAUCGGAAUUACUGGGCGUAAAGCGCACGCAGGCGGUUUGUUAAGUCAGAUGUGAAAUCCCCGGGCUCAACCUGGGAACUGCAUCUGAUACUGGCAAGCUUGAGUCUCGUAGAGGGGGGUAGAAUUCCAGGUGUAGCGGUGAAAUGCGUAGAGAUCUGGAGGAAUACCGGUGGCGAAGGCGGCCCCCUGGACGAAGACUGACGCUCAGGUGCGAAAGCGUGGGGAGCAAACAGGAUUAGAUACCCUGGUAGUCCACGCCGUAAACGAUGUCGACUUGGAGGUUGUGCCCUUGAGGCGUGGCUUCCGGAGCUAACGCGUUAAGUCGACCGCCUGGGGAGUACGGCCGCAAGGUUAAAACUCAAAUGAAUUGACGGGGGCCCGCACAAGCGGUGGAGCAUGUGGUUUAAUUCGAUGCAACGCGAAGAACCUUACCUGGUCUUGACAUCCACGGAAGUUUUCAGAGAUGAGAAUGUGCCUUCGGGAACCGUGAGACAGGUGCUGCAUGGCUGUCGUCAGCUCGUGUUGUGAAAUGUUGGGUUAAGUCCCGCAACGAGCGCAACCCUUAUCCUUUGUUGCCAGCGGUCCGGCCGGGAACUCAAAGGAGACUGCCAGUGAUAAACUGGAGGAAGGUGGGGAUGACGUCAAGUCAUCAUGGCCCUUACGACCAGGGCUACACACGUGCUACAAUGGCGCAUACAAAGAGAAGCGACCUCGCGAGAGCAAGCGGACCUCAUAAAGUGCGUCGUAGUCCGGAUUGGAGUCUGCAACUCGACUCCAUGAAGUCGGAAUCGCUAGUAAUCGUGGAUCAGAAUGCCACGGUGAAUACGUUCCCGGGCCUUGUACACACCGCCCGUCACACCAUGGGAGUGGGUUGCAAAAGAAGUAGGUAGCUUAACCUUCGGGAGGGCGCUUACCACUUUGUGAUUCAUGACUGGGGUGAAGUCGUAACAAGGUAACCGUAGGGGAACCUGCGGUUGGAUCACCUCCUUACCUUAAAGAAGC